Molecule: long non-coding RNA, 1225 nt
Organism: Corvus hawaiiensis (hawaiian crow)
Lineage: Eukaryota; Metazoa; Chordata; Aves; Passeriformes; Corvidae
Exons: 4
Source: RefSeq, a predicted model, not a curated record
UCCGCCCCUGCUCCUCCAGGCCCUUCAGGCGCCUCAGACAAUCCUCGGCGCUGUGGAGAUCCCGCUCCAGGUGCAUCGUGAGCAGGUUUGUGGACCAAACUGACCCCACCCAGGGAGGGUCCCUGGCGUCCUGUGCCCCCCAGCAGCAUCCCAUUGCUCCAGGGAGGACCGGGAUCCACCCGGCUCCAGCAUUGGAAAACCGCAGCUCCCGGAGUGCCCAGGACCCAGCAGCACCCACAGGGAACACGCACCGAGGGAAAAGGCUUCGGGAUUUGGUGGAUUUGAGCCGGAGCCCGGCUGGCCAGAAGGGCGAGGGCUCUGCCCCGGGAAGAACCGGCUCAAUUCCAGACUGAGAAGCUGGAAGAGGCGCUGCCCAGAUGUUGGCUCGGGAUCCAGCGGUGGAGGCGGCCCCGGGGUCACUCAGCAGAGCCCCUCCGGGACGGUGGGAUUUGCGGUCGCGGUGAGGAUGAGGAGCAGCGCCGGGCAGUGUGUCUGGCCAAGCCAUGCUGGCUGAUCCCAAAUCCCUGCCGGGACCACCCGCCCGGGGCGUUUCUGGGGCACGGAAGGGUCCGCUGGCAUUGCACUGAGCGGGAACGCUGAGCAGGCGCCCCGGGAUGGACACGGAGGGGUUAAAUCUCGCCGGAUCCCGGGAAGAGCCGGCGACUUCCCAGCCUGAAUAAACCCAGCACCCUGCCAAAAUCCUGCUCCAGGACCCAAACUCCUGGAUUAUCAACCGUAAUCCAGGCAGGGUAUUCCUCUGGAGGAGCGACCCUCCGUGCCUGAUGCACGGCCUGCAGGGAAUGCAUCCCACUGAGCCCCGAAACCCCUCAGGAGCUGUCCUGGGACACCACCCGGCUCUCGGGGUUCCUACUCUGGCUCCAGCCUCUGCAGCUCCAUCCAGCAGCUCCGGCAUCUAUUUGUUUACAAGCGGGGUGGGAGUUUUGCUUUUGCUUCCCUUUAUUUUUAAACUUAUUUAUCUUUAUUUUGGAUUUCUGACUCAUCCCCACCCGUUGCCGGGAGGAAACCGGAAUCAAAAAAGCCUCAGAUAUCGUUUGUAUCAGCUGAAUAAAAUCCUCCCCCAGAGAGGAAAGUCCAGCAACAGCUCCAGGACCCAGAGCCGCUUCUCCUUCCCCUGGUCUCAUUCCCACAGAGGAGGAAAACUCAAUUUUUCCUCUUUUUCUCCAAACCACAGCUGGUUUCAGGCUCUGCAAGCACAGAGCCAGGC